AUGUGCCUGAGGGUCUUCGACGCCGACACCAACUACGAGUCCGACAGGCUGCACACGCAGAUGUUCGCACCGGCGGUGAUGUCGGGGCUCAUAUGCGGCGACGGGAUAUGGUCGAUGCAGUCUCCGUUGUUGUUGCUAGGCAACGUGGAACCGCCCAUGUGCCUUAGGGUCUUCGACACCGGCACCAACUACGAGGUGGAGCAGUUCCUCGCGACCUUACCCAUCCCGCUGGCGUAG
RNAcentral lists this ribosomal RNA (237 nucleotides) under Triticum aestivum (bread wheat). Its description in RNAcentral is "partial small subunit ribosomal RNA". The record is from RNAcentral. Lineage: Eukaryota; Viridiplantae; Streptophyta; Magnoliopsida; Poales; Poaceae.